This 1076-nucleotide long non-coding RNA is filed under the name Callithrix jacchus (white-tufted-ear marmoset). RNAcentral describes it as "lncRNA (ENSCJAG00000080654.1)". Lineage: Eukaryota; Metazoa; Chordata; Mammalia; Primates; Cebidae. The record is from RNAcentral.
CAAUCAUUUCCCUGUGGAUAUGCCCUUUGCAUCUAAGUUAAUUGCAACAUCUCUUCUCUGCCUAUGCACGUGUGAUACUUUGACUCUCUUUGAAUCAGUUGAAAGAAACAGCUUACUCAUUAUUAAUAAGUAAGAUACAAUUGUUACAAGCAUUAUUUUUAUAUCUAUAUAACAGACAUCAUUAUGUCCUCUUUAAAAAAAUAAUAUUUUAACAAUUUAGGGCAUCAUGGAGUGCAGUGCCCAGUGGACUCAUCAGACAAAGAAGGGUAAAGUCUGUUACCAGAAAAGUAAGUGCACCUCGCAGGUGGCUUCAGCCCACGGAUCUCUUAUCUGGCUCACAAACGUCAAUCCCAAAUGAUGAUAGAACUGGAUGAGUAUAUGACUCAGGCCUGGCCAGAAAUACUGCAUCCCACAGUGACUGACUCAGAAUGGACACAGACUCAAUUAGAGCCCAUAAGGAACCAUGAGUCUUAUGCAGGACCUGAGAAAGAGGCGCACUUCUUCUGCUGAAUUGUAUCCAAGUAUCCUCACUUUGAACUUGCUGACUGGCAUGUUCCCAUCACAUGAAGCUUGAGAAUGAAGAACACAGAAGAAUGGGGCUAAGAGACUGAGGGAAACUGAGUUUUGCUGACAUCAUCCGAGCCUCUGUCUAACCCAGCUGCCUGACUACAACCCUAAUCCCAGACUUGUCCAACACGAGUCAAUACGUUGUGUUUUCUUAAAUCCAAAUGACUUCUCCCACACAAGGAGUUCAUUGACCCUGGCUGCUGCUUCUCUGCUUUUCCAGAACUCACUCCCACACUGAGAGCAUUGAUCCAUAAAGGAGGGCAGAGCCAUCAUGACCCCAUCACCUCUUACAGGUGCGAUCUCUUACCACUGUUGCACUGGGGAUUAGGUUUCCAAAACAUGAACAUUGGCAGCCACAUUGAAACCAUAGCAGGCUCCAAAGCCAGAGCCCCCUUCCCUACUGAUUCUAGUACAGUUCUUGCUAUUAAAAUCCUUCCUGGGGUAUACUCCUAUGAGCAAGAGCCUGUGACAUGGAACCUGGAUACACAGAGAAAUGUGUGGUCCCAGCA